This 22-nucleotide microRNA is filed under the name Ornithorhynchus anatinus (platypus). RNAcentral's name for it is "oan-miR-26-1-3p". Its record names the gene oan-miR-26-1-3p. Lineage: Eukaryota; Metazoa; Chordata; Mammalia; Monotremata; Ornithorhynchidae. The record is from miRBase by way of RNAcentral.
CCUGUCCUCGGUUACUUGUCUC